GAUUACAUUUUGGGACUAAACAAUAUUCCAGGUAUCCCCCAGACACUGUCUAUCACAUCUGAUUUUUGAUUUCUUAUCUCUCUGUGCUGUUACAUAACCUGCUCCAUGCUUCUGAUUACCCAAAUAUCAAUAACCUGUUAUUAUUCAGUCACUGACAGUAUUGUCACGGUAUUGCCCAAAAUUAAAUAUAACACACAAACAUGAACAGAUUCCAAUGAAUCUUUUUUAUUUCAUCUUUAUAUAUUCACAGAGUGCUCUGAAACUCCAGAUUUAACAACAGAAGAAUGUAUUAAUUGGGUUGCAAGAAUAAAUUAUGAUUACCGUUAACAGCCCAGUGUGCAAUUGUACUCAACAUUAUACUCACAAGAGGCGAUAUACUCACUACACAGACCUAAAUGAAAUCUUUCAGCCAACUGUUCUGGUAAAAAUAUAAAUAAUAAAUAAACAAGUCAAUAAAUGAAUCAGUUUUAAUAGUUCUGGACUGCUGUAUUUCAUCAUCUUAAGCACCAUGACACAUAGACUAGGAUAAGAGGUUUGGAGGAUAGAUGGAAGGAAGGAAGGAUUUCUUUAACCGUUAGUCUCCAGAGACGCCGGACUCAGCAACAGAGUACUGCUGCGUGUGCAGGGUUCAUGCAUGCUGCUUUACAAGGAGCCUUCUCAUGAAAACCUUCUGUUUUCACCUGGAUAUAAUCAAAAAGUCUUCAAUAAGUGUCCAAGCAGCAUCACCAAACACUCAUAGAGCUGGUCUUUUACCAGCAGCAGUAAAUCAGAUAUUACACGAGAAUCACAGCAGUUCGUGGGUGACGAUGUUCUGAUAAUUGAUAUUUCGGCGACUGUAUAUUUAUAGUUCCUAACUCUAUCGUACGUGAUUGAAUCAUGCUGUUUUGACAGUGCCAACCUAUUAGAGCUUAAAAUCUGUAUGUAACUUUAAAAUGUGCUGAAAGACUAAACAAAACAAAAUACUCAUGACACUACAAUAAUGAUGUGUGUGUAUAUAUUACCUAAACAACAUAAAAUCAAAUAUAAAAAACGCCAAUGUACAUAAAUAAAAUAAUAAUAACAAUAAAUAAUAAUACUUUU
Molecule: long non-coding RNA, 1080 nt
Organism: Cyprinus carpio (common carp)
Lineage: Eukaryota; Metazoa; Chordata; Actinopteri; Cypriniformes; Cyprinidae
Source: Ensembl